CAAGGGUUUGGCUGUUCGCCAAUUAAAGCGGUACGUGAGCUGGGUUUAAAACGUCGUGAGACAGUUUGGUCCUUAUCUGUUGCGGGCGUAGGAUAUUUGCGGAGAGCUGUCCCUAGUACGAGAGGACCGGGAUGGACGAACCGCUAGUGUUCCAGUUGUCGCGCCAGCGGCAUUGCUGGGUAGCUAUGUUCGGAAGGGAUAACCGCUGAAAGCAUCUAAGCGGGAAGCCCACUCCAAGAUGAGAUAUCCCGUGGGGUAACCCACCUGAAGGCUCCUUGUAGACGACGAGGUUGAUAGGUCGGGUGUAGAAGUGCAGUAAUGCAUGAAGCUAACCGAUACUAAUAAGCCGUGCGGCUUGACCAUA
RNAcentral lists this ribosomal RNA (364 nucleotides) under Desulfobacteraceae bacterium. RNAcentral describes it as "bacterial LSU rRNA". It matches the Rfam family "Bacterial large subunit ribosomal RNA", at positions 2566 to 2925 of the family's 2925-position model. The record is from RNAcentral. Lineage: Bacteria; Pseudomonadati; Thermodesulfobacteriota; Desulfobacteria; Desulfobacterales; Desulfobacteraceae.